RNAcentral lists this ribosomal RNA (370 nucleotides) under uncultured Glomeromycotina. RNAcentral's name for it is "LSU rRNA". The record is from RNAcentral. Lineage: Eukaryota; Fungi; Glomeromycota.
UUGAAAGGGAAACGAUUGAAGUCAGCGUACCGACGAGAAAUCACUUUCCGAGUCGGAAUUUGGGGCGUGCGUGGGCUGUUAAAGCCCCCCCUGUUUGCAAUUAGUGCUUUUUGGGUGUACUUUUUCGUAUGGUAGGCCCCGCCAGUUUCGAUCACCAUAAAACGAUUGGCGGAAUGUACCUUCGAUCUCGUAUUGAAGUGUCAUAGCCUUGGUAGAUGUGGUGAUCGAACCUGAGGAUUGCAACGAAUACCCUUUGGCCUAUCCGUCUGACUCUGGAAGUUGCUUGGGCCCGAAACCCCGCUCACGGUAUAUUAAGACGACGGUCAAAAGGUUAGAACCCGGAUCCCCCUUCGUUAAGGAUGUUGACGUA